AUGGCCAUGUCCAAGAACCUCAGCACACACAACCAGUCCUGCAAAUGGCACAUGAAUGACAUCAAGAAACUGGGUCACAAAGGCAAGAAUCUCUUAAGGGGGUUGACCCACAAGAAUAGGUGUUGUGCCAAGAAGCAAAACAAGUAAGACCUGAGGAUUCAAGCCAAUAGUGCAAAGGCAAUGAGCGCAUGUGCAGAGGCCAUCAAGGCCCUUGUGAAGCCAAAGGUGGUUAAGCCCAAGAUGCUAAAAGGCCACAGCUGCAAACUCAGAUGUCUUGCAUUCAUCACUCACCAAAGCUUGAGGGAGCGUAUUUGAAGCUAUAUGGCCAAGGGUCAUGAGCUCUGCCAACCUAAGCCCAAGGUUCAAACCAAGGCAGAGGUCACAGCUCCAGCUAAGGUCCAGGCUUCAGCUCCAGCUCAGACUCCCAAAGGUACCCAGGUCCCUGUAAA
RNAcentral lists this long non-coding RNA (449 nucleotides) under Mus musculus (house mouse). RNAcentral describes it as "long non-coding RNA chr2:159978273-159978722". Lineage: Eukaryota; Metazoa; Chordata; Mammalia; Rodentia; Muridae. The record is from RNAcentral.